GGUGAGUAACACGUGGAUAACCUACCUAUAAGACUGGGAUAACUUCGGGAAACCGGAGCUAAUACCGGAUAAUAUUUUGAACCGCAUGGUUCAAAAGUGAAAGACGGUCUUGCCGUCACUUAUAGAUGGAUCCGCGCUGCAUUAGCUAGUUGGUAAGGUAGCGGCUUACCAAGGCAACGAUGCAUAGCCGACCUGAGAGGGUGAUCGGCCACACUGGAACUGAGACACGGUCCAG
This 235-nucleotide ribosomal RNA is filed under the name uncultured Staphylococcus sp. Its description in RNAcentral is "partial 16S ribosomal RNA". It matches the Rfam family "Bacterial small subunit ribosomal RNA", at positions 105 to 334 of the family's 1533-position model. Lineage: Bacteria; Bacillati; Bacillota; Bacilli; Caryophanales; Staphylococcaceae. The record is from RNAcentral.